AAUAGGUGGACUGGGGGCGAUUGUGAGUGUACCCAUAUGUCUGUCGCUUGACAGAUAACCACUGGCUUGGACAGGGAAGAUACAACCUCCAGUGCUCCUGACCAGCAGCCUUUUGCAGUAACAAGUGACUCAGAAGGGGGUGUGCGUAAUGAGUGCCAGGUGUGCGUAAUGAUGAAUCCCAGGACCAGUGGUUAGUACUUUGGCGAAGUCUUACGCAGGAGGGGAGGAGCAGGAGCAGAUGUGACAUCACCAGGCAGACCAAAACUCCAUCCCAACAAAACAUGCUGAAAUUGAAGGCCUUUAACAGGGGUGUGCUGCUAAAGUCAAUCAACACACGUCUUUCACCUCGAGAGAGAUCUGCUCUGGGCCACUGGGACAGCACAGAAAGAAAACCGGUUAUGAUUUCUAACUUUGGCUCGGUCACUAUUGACUUUGUUGUUUUCUUUCUUUGUUAUGCUAAUCUUUUCAAUUUGCACUGCUUAUUUAUCUUCUGUCAUCCACACUUCAAUUACUGAAAUAACUCACACACAGAUUAUUUACACUGGUGGCUACCACAGCCACUAUUGCUAUAAAUGCACCUCAAAGAUCAGAGGAUAAAUUUUUUUAAUGUUAAAAAAAUGUACCCCUUUUUCUCCCCAAUUGGUAGUUACAGUCUUGUCUCAUCGCUGCAACUCCCGUACGGACUCGGGAGAGGCGAAGGCCAAGAGCGGUGCGUCCUCCGAAACCCAACCAAGCCUCACUGCUUCUUGACACAAUGCCCAUUUAACAUAGAUGCCAGCCACACCAAUGUGUCAGAGGAAACACCGUACCCCUGGCGACUGUCAGCGUGCAUGCGCCCGGAGCCUGGACUCAAACCCAGAAUCUCUAGUUGCACAGCUAGCACUGCGAUGCAGUGCCUUAGACCACUGCACCACUCGGGAGGCCCUGAUCAGAGGAUUUCUGAGAAGACACUUAUAUAGUGCUUUGUUUUGCACAUGAAGUGGUCCAUAUAAAGAUGUGGAUGGAUGGAG
Molecule: long non-coding RNA, 1010 nt
Filed under: Salmo salar (Atlantic salmon)
Lineage: Eukaryota; Metazoa; Chordata; Actinopteri; Salmoniformes; Salmonidae
Description: lncRNA (ENSSSAG00000107204.1, ENSSSAG00075027433.1)
Source: RNAcentral